CCUACGGGGGGCUGCAGUGAGGAAUAUUGGUCAAUGGGCGCAAGCCUGAACCAGCCAAGUCGCGUGAGGGAUGAAGGUUCUAUGGAUUGUAAACCUCUUUUAUAAGGGAAUAAAGUGUGGGACGUGUCGCAUUUUGUAUGUACCUUAUGAAUAAGGAUCGGCUAAUUCCGUGCCAGCAGCCGCGGUAAUACGGAGGAUCCGGGCGUUAUCCGGAUUUAUUGGGUUUAAAGGGUGCGUAGGCGGCCUUUUAAGCGUGUGGUGAAAUUCCGUGGCUCAACCAUGGAAUUGCCGGGGAAACUGGGGGGCUUGAGUGUGUGUGAGGCAGGCGGAAUGCGUGGUGUAGCGGUGAAAUGCUUAGAUAUCACGCAGAACCCCGAUUGCGAAGGCAGCCUGCCAUGCCAUGACUGACGCUGAUGCACGAAAGCGUGGGGAUCAAACAGGAUUAGAUACCCGAGUAGUC
Molecule: ribosomal RNA, 460 nt
Filed under: uncultured bacterium
Lineage: Bacteria
Description: partial 16S ribosomal RNA
Rfam family: Bacterial small subunit ribosomal RNA
Source: RNAcentral